ACAACCACCUCGAAUCCGCCUUUUCUUUGUGAGGGGGGAGAAAUCGGUGUUGGUGGCGGAGGAACGAGUUUGUUGGGCUUGCCCACUAUAUGUUUGGCAAAUCUCUCCUCCCCGCUGAAAUUUGGCGGUGGGAUAUUUGGGUUUGGUGGGAUUUUGAGGGGAUAUGAUGACUGAUAAUCUUCUUCCCCUCACUUUCUUAACCCAGUCACAGUCCCCCAAUAUAUAUAUAAUAUCAAA
Molecule: unclassified non-coding RNA, 237 nt
Filed under: uncultured Genea
Lineage: Eukaryota; Fungi; Ascomycota; Pezizomycetes; Pezizales; Pyronemataceae
Description: sequence contains ITS2
Source: RNAcentral